CCUACGGGAGGCAGCAGUGAGGAAUAUUGGUCAAUGGCCGGAAGGCUGAACCAGCCAAGCCGCGUGAAGGACGAAGGUGCCAAGCAUUGUAAACUUCUUUUGUCAAGGGACAAAAUCAGGCUCGAGAGCCUGACCGAGGGUCCUUGAAGAAAAAGCAUCGGCUAACCCCGUGCCAGCAGCCGCGGUAAUACGGAGGAUGCGAGCGUUAUCCGGAUUUAUGGGGUUAAAGGGGUGCGUAGGCGGGCUGUUAAGUCAGCGGUAAAAGCCCGGGGCUCAACCCCGGCGAGCCGUUGAAACUGGGUGUCUUGAGAUGUCGAGAGGUAUGCGGAAUGCGCAGUGUAGCGGUGAAAUGCUUAGAUAUUGCGCAGAACUCCGAUUGCGAAGGCAGCAUACCGGCGGCGAUCUGACGCUGAGGCACGAAAGCGUGGGUAUCGAACAGGAUUAGAUACCCCGGUAGUC
This 459-nucleotide ribosomal RNA is filed under the name uncultured bacterium. RNAcentral describes it as "partial 16S ribosomal RNA". It matches the Rfam family "Bacterial small subunit ribosomal RNA", at positions 338 to 795 of the family's 1533-position model. The record is from RNAcentral.